This is a non-coding RNA of Streptosporangium subroseum, 69 nucleotides long. It matches the Rfam family "ASpks TB sRNA". NCBI's taxonomy places the organism in Bacteria, Bacillati, Actinomycetota, Actinomycetes, Streptosporangiales, Streptosporangiaceae. The record is from Rfam.
CUUCACCGAGCCGAGCCACAGCGGCGUCUCCCUGUCCUGGCCGUAGGUGGCCAGCAACGCCUGCGCCUC